RNAcentral lists this ribosomal RNA (459 nucleotides) under uncultured bacterium. RNAcentral's name for it is "bacterial SSU rRNA". It matches the Rfam family "Bacterial small subunit ribosomal RNA", at positions 28 to 507 of the family's 1533-position model. The record is from RNAcentral.
GAUGAACGCUGGCGGCGUGCUUGAUACAUGCAAGUCGAACGGAGAGUGUAGCAAUAUACUUUUAGUGGCGAACGGGUGAGUAACGCGUUGGUGACCUGCCCCGAAGCGAGGGAUAACAGUUCGAAAGAACUGCUAAUACCUCAUGUGAUCACCGGUUUUAGAAUCUGGUGAUUAAAGGUGAAAAUCACUUCGGGAGGGGCCUGCGUCCCAUCAGCUAGUUGGUAAGGUAAUGGCUUACCAAGGCGAUGACGGGUAGGGGACCUGAGAGGGUGGCCCCCACAAUGGAACUGAAACACGGUCCAUACACCUACGGGUGGCAGCAGUAGGGAAUAUUGCAAAUGGGCGAAAAGCCUGAUGUAGCAACGCCGCGUGUGCGAUGAAGGUCUUCGGAUUGUAAAGCACUUUUUGGAGGGAUGAGGAAGGACAGUACCUCCAGAAUAAGCCUCGGCUAACUACGUG